Molecule: unclassified non-coding RNA, 738 nt
Filed under: Hevea brasiliensis (rubber tree)
Lineage: Eukaryota; Viridiplantae; Streptophyta; Magnoliopsida; Malpighiales; Euphorbiaceae
Source: RNAcentral
GCUUCUGCACUUAAUUCUGGGGCUUGUGGGUAUGGUUCCUUAGCACCAGGUUUCAAUAGAGGAUACCUUGCAGCUGGCAUUCCUACUCUCUACAAAGAUGGGGCUGGUUGUGGUGCCUGUUUUCAGAUAAGAUGCAAAAACAAAGCCCUUUGUAGUAGCAAAGGCAUUAAAGUGAUCAUGACUGAUCUCAAUCGCAAUAAUCAGACAGAUUUUGUUCUUAGUAGUAGAGCUUUUAUGGCCAUGGCGAACCAGGGUAUGGGUCAAAACAUUUUAAAACUUGGGAUUGUCGAUGUCGAAUAUAAAAGGGUACCUUGUGAAUACAAAAACCAGAAUUUGGGCGUGCGAGUAGAAGAAUCAAGCCAAUAUCCAAAUUACUUGGCCAUCAAAUUGUUAUAUCAAGGUGGUCAGACAGAAAUAGUAGCAAUUGAUAUAGCUAAGGUUGGUUCUUCAAACUGGAGUUACAUGAGACGGAACUACGGGGCGGUAUGGGAUUCGAGCAGAGUUCCGGCGGGGGCUCUGCAAUUCCGAUUUGUGGUAACAGCUGGAUAUGAUGGGAAGUGGAUUUGGGCAAAGAGUGUUCUUCCUGCAGAUUGGAAACCAGGGGUCGUAUAUGACUCAGGAAUUCAAAUUACUGAUAUUGCACAAGAGGGUUGCUCUCCAUGUGAUGAUGGGACUUGGAGAUGAGGCUAAUAGAUAAAUAAACAUUUUACUCUAAUAAGGCCAGAUUUUUAAUACGAC